Non-coding RNA from Dermacentor albipictus, 12070 nucleotides. NCBI's taxonomy places the organism in Eukaryota, Metazoa, Arthropoda, Arachnida, Ixodida, Ixodidae. The record is from RefSeq and is a predicted model, not a curated record.
CAAAUGACUCUGUGUCACACAACUACAAAAACAUGAAAUUGUCUGCUUUAUGAUAAAUACAAAAAAAUGACAACUCAGGCAGACUGGCAGAGCAGUCAUCAAUAAUAAAACAAGACAUUGCACAAUUUAUUUGCCUGAGAAAUGAGGUUUGCACAUCAAGCUUAGCAAUUCUCUGCAGCUUGCUCGCCUUAUACAAUCAGUCCACAUUGUUAGCUCAACAUAUCCGUCUGAUAUGUUGAGUGGUUUUGGCAAAAGUGGUUUUGGCACGUAAAACCCCACAAUUUAAUUUAAUUUUAACGUUUGCACUACCUUUCCAAAUGCAGGCAGAUUUAGGUGAACAAGCACAUUUAAGGUGGAGCUUAUGUGCUGCUGAUCUAUGGUGUUAAAACACACAUCUUGCUUUAAGUUGGCCUUGUUAGUCAAAGAAACAUAUGUGCCAUAGAAUCUUGACUGUGGGUAAUAUUAGUGAUAGCCACAUUAGACAACUGCACCCAUCCUACUGGAGAGCUUUGCAUUCUCAUGGGAGGAACUUUUGAAGUUCAACCAUGUUAUAGUUCUGUACAGUGAGGUCAAUUUCGUCUCAAGGCCAAUGAACCAGGAACGCAAAACAUUUCUCUAUGGAGUGAACAGCGUACCCUACUUUUUAAAACUUACUAAGCUGAUUGAGCAUAUUUGGGAGCAGGUAGACGUCCUUCAUAGUAAUUUUGUUCAGCUGACGGUAGUCCGCACAGAAGCGCCACGUGCCGUCCUUCUUAACCAAAACCACAGGUGACGCCCAGGGACUCGAAGAAAGCUUAAUGAUGUUUUUAUCUAGCAUUUUGUUCACUUCAGUUAGAAUUACUCGGCGUUCCGAUGCAGAAACUUGAUAUGGUCAUCGGUGAAUAGGCGUAGCAUCGUCAGUAGAAAUCCAAUGCUGGACCGCGAGCGUCUGGCCUAAAGGGCGAUCGUUUGAAGUAAAAAAUAUCUCGGUAGGACGAUAAUACUUUGCAAAGGCUGUCAGCCUGCGCAGAGAACAGGUCCACCGCAACGAUUUUCUUUACGUUGGCAUCGGUGCCCGAGGCUGGUGCGAGGGGCCUGCUAAGCUCAGAAGAACCAUCGGUUGAUAAAGCUGCUACGUGAUGGUCGCCGAGACAAUCAACGUUGACAAGGCAAAUACCUUGCAGUAGGAUUUGCUUUCCCAAUCCAAAGUUAAAGAUAGGCAUGCGAGUAUGGUUAGCAGUAACAGUCAGAAUGCUGUGAGGCACGGUGAUGUCAUACUGUAGUGGAAUGUUGGGCAGGGGAGUGACGAGGUACUCGCCAUCAGGAACAGGUGGGCAACACAACAAUUCAGUAUAGGCUGUUGACUUCGGUGGCAGGCGAAUAAAGCAGGUGGGGUGUAAGCGGCACUGGGGUGCGUUAGAAGGUUCUACGAGAAUCGGCACCUCAAGGCAAAGGGUACUGGCAGAGCAGUCAAUAAGAGCAGGAUGCGCAGAGAGAAAAUCGAGUCCGAGAAUUAGGUCAUGGGGCAAUGAGCAAUUACAGUGAAGAAAACAGGAGUGUGGCGGCCGGCGAUGCUGACACAUGCCGUACAUAUGCUGAUGAUAGGCACAGUACCGCCAUCCGCAACGCGACCAACGCGUGCUGACGCUGGGGUGAAGUGCUUUUUCAGUCGUCAUCGGAAGGCAGCACUUAUAAUAGAAAGAUGUGCUCCUGCAUCGAUGAGUGCAGUGACAGGUGUAAUGGUUGGAGUCGGGCAUGAAAUAGAUGGUAGCUGGCCCAUGCGGUCAUCAAACUUAUCCACACUGAGGACGUUGUUGAAGGGAGAGACUUGUUCUCAUCAAGAACGAGGAAUCUGGGAUUUAUUUACAGUAUCUGCAUGAGAAUGUUACAGUUCAUCAGUCUAACAUGACUGAAAAAAGAAAUGCACCCUGAAGAGCUGCCAACAGUUCCUUAAAUACACUGUCCUCCUGAAAUCCCUAGGUGACGGAACACAGCAGUUCACCGCCGACCAAUUCGGAGCGUCCAAAGUCAUCGUAACCAACCCGCCUUUGAGGGGGACGGUUUAACCUCAUCAAGACGGCAACACAACAAGUCGCGAGAAUGAUAAAGCGGGUAGCCACGAAAAGGACGGGGAUGAAGGAUAAGAACACCCUUUGCCUAAUAAGAAGUCUGGUGGUUAGCCGCUUCAUUUACAGCUUGCCGUAUUACCAGCUAACGAAAACAGAGAGGGAUGCGAUCAAUUCGUGCUUAAGGAAAGCCUACAAGAUCGCCCUACAAAUUUCGCAGUGCGCCCCAACCGAAAAACUCAUGUCUCUAGGAAUUCAUAAUACAUUCGAGGAACUGGCAGACGCUCAGCUGAUAACUCAAAGAAACAGACUCGCACAAACGACCACGGGUAGGAAACUCCUUGGCAGACUCGAGUAUCACGAGCUCCUUGAAAAAACAACCAAACUAAGCCCAUCCCCACAAUAAUCAGAAACUGCAUCAAAGUGGUGCCAAUACCCAUAAAUAUGGACCCAACUCUACAUGCAGGCAGAAGAGAAGCCAGAGCUGCAUACAUUGAAAAAACGCACGGCGACAAACCAAACUCCUGCUUCGUGGACGCGGCAAGAUACCCAGGCAGGCAGAAAAGAACGGUAGCUGCUGUCACUGACUACAUGGGCAGAGAAAUCAUCAGCGCCUCCACUCACAACACCACUAUCGUGGAAGCAGAAGAAAUCGCAAUAGCCCUUGCUAUCAAAGCGACAAAACCAAACCAACAACAAAUAACCAUCCUAUCAGACUCUCAAGCGGCAUGCAGAAACUACCUCAGGGGACGAGUAUGCACCGCAGCCUAUAGGAUUAUGCAAGAUAUAAAACCCCGAGCCAGAUUUCACCUUUUAUGGAUACCCGGUCAUGAGGGAAUCAGGGGAAACGAAGAGGCUGACAGAGUAGCCCGUGCACAUGCUACACCCCACGGGUGCUCACAGGAAGCCUCUGACGACCCGAUCCCGAUUGACCAGAACUACUCUGCAAUUUUAAACUAUCACAGAGGAAAUAGAAUGAAGCUACCACCCCCAGAUAAGAAUCUCACUAAGGAAGAACAGGUUAUAUGGAGAAAGCUGCAAACCUAUACAUAUAACAACCUGCACAUUCUCCAUAAAAUUCAUCCGGAAAGAUAUACGGACACAUGCCCAUGGUGCGGAGCCACGCCAACCUUAGACCACAUCUCGUGGGCAUGCACGGCAUAUCCACAAAAGACAAACACAGAAAUUGCGGAGCAUACACAAUGGGAGGCGGCGCUGUCCAGCUCAAAGGAAGAGGUCCAAAGGGCCAUCAUCCGACAAGCAAGACGGCGCGCGGAAGCCAGUGGGGCCCUUGUCUAGGGGCUCCACCCAUUGAGCGUUUUAUUCUACAAUAAAGUUGUUCUUCUUCUUCUACGCACUCACUUCUGCACAGGUUGCACUGACCACACCGAGGUGAGAGGGUUUUCGCAGACACUGUGCUUGACCCGAGCAGGCACCUUUGACCCUGCAGUCAGUGGCCGCCGCAUCUGUUCGUUGACUGACACGUGAGACGGGUUCUAAGCUGCAUGAGACGGCACCGCAAAAUAUCUUCCAGGAGCUCCCCUGCUCCAAGCAGACCUUGACGGUGUACACACUAACAAUACUUGCUCUGGCUACUGUGUCUAGCCAUCUCGGCACCCUUCCGUUGGGGACACAGCGCAUUGUCCUCCUUACAAAACCAGUUGCCGCCACAGCCAUGGUGGCGCCGAUGGGCUGGGGACUGAUGUCUGGUCGUCCUUUCAAAGCGAGUCGUCACAGCAGAACUGGUGGCGCCUUUCCGUCGGUCCCUUACUCAAAGAUCGCCAGCCCCCGCUGGUCGAACGUAACACAGGAUACCUGUCAAUGCCAAGAAAGUUUUGGUUCGUAGGUAACAUGAGUAGAGAAUUUGAGGGCAGGGUCGACAACACAGCUUCACCUCCAGAAGCUGUAGUGCCUAGUUUUUUGGCUGCAUCCAGGAGGCGAUAGGCGGCGAGGAGAAGCGACGGGCCUGGGGCGAACGAGACUGAUGGCGUUGAGGUGAGGGCGAGUGGCUGUAGCGGAGGUUCGGAGGUGGAGCAUCAGCGGCAGUGGGUUCUAGGCGGGUGGCAUAGGGAACAGUAGGUCCAAAGGUGCAGGAAUAAGCGCAGGUGUAUGUCCGAGGAGGUGGUGGCCAUUGGUUGCGGCAGUGACGAGUCACGUGGUUGAUGUGACAGCAGUGGAAGCAGAUCAGCUUGUCAUCAGGGGUACGCCAUUUGGACAGGUUGGGAUAUGUGGCAUCCAGGAGGCGAUAGGCGGCGAGGAGAAGCGACGGGCCUGGGGCGAACGAGACUGAUGGCGUUGAGGUGAGGGCGAGUGGCUGUAGCGGAGGUUCGGAGGUGGAGCAUCAGCGGCAGUGGGUUCUAGGCGGGUGGCAUAGGGAACAGUAGGUCCAAAGGUGCAGGAAUAAGCGCAGGUGUAUGUCCGAGGAGGUGGUGGCCAUUGGUUGCGGCAGUGACGAGUCACGUGGUCGAUGUGACAGCAGUGGAAGCAGAUCAGCUUGUCAUCAGGGGUACGCCAUUUGGACAGGUUGCGAUAUGUGGCAUCCAGGAGGCGAUAGGCGGCGAGGAGAAGCGACGGGCCUGGGGCGAACGAGACUGAUGGCGUUGAGGUGAGGGCGAGUGGCUGUAGCGGAGGUUCGGAGGUGGAGCAUCAGCGGCAGUGGGUUCUAGGCGGGUGGCAUAGGGAACAGUAGGUCCAAAGGUGCAGGAAUAAGCGCAGGUGUAUGUCCGAGGAGGUGGUGGCCAUUGGUUGCGGCAGUGACGAGUAACGUGGUCGAUGUGACAGCAGUGGAAGCAGAUCAGCUUGUCAUCAGGGGUACGCCAUUUGGACAGGUUGCGAUAUGUGGCAUCCAGGAGGCGAUAGGCGGCGAGGAGAAGCGACGGGCCUGGGGCAAACGAGACUGAUGGCGUUGAGGUGAGGGCGAGUGGCUGUAGCGAAGGUUCGGAGGUGGAGCAUCAGCGGCAGUGGGUUCUAGGCGGGUGGCAUAGGGAACAGUAGGUCCAAAGGUGCAGGAAUAAGCGCAGGUGUAUGUCCGAGGAGGUGGUGGCCAUUGGUUGCGGCAGUGACGAGCGACGUGGUCGAUGCGACAGCAGUGGAAGCAGAUCAGCUUGUCAUCAGGGGUACGCCAUUUGGACAGGUUGCGAUAUGUGGCAGAAAAGGAGUUGGGACAAGGAGGGCCGCUAGAGAAUGGGGGAACGCUGGGUUGAGUCGUUAAACACACAGAGUUCAGACCCAUGUUCUCAAAUUCCUGUCUGACGACGGCCUAAAUCCUGGCAAUUGUGGUUGCUGGCGGGUCGGGAGGUGUCGCGGAGAAGGCUGGCCAACAGGUGGCCUCGAGCUGGCGGUGAACAAUACGGGUUAGGUCAUCAGAGGUGGUCGUCUGAUGUGGUCGACCCUCACAUGUCGAUGUAGCAGCGGUGUUGGGUAGCUGCGUGAUGUGGUGUGUGAUACGGUGGCUCUUAGCUUAUUCAAGGCGACGGCAUUCAUUUAUCAUGGCGCCGAUAGGAAAGACGUUGCCGAAAACAAAAAAUUGAAAGCAUCGUCGGUGAUGCCUUUUGGCCACCUUAUCUGCUUCAGACAUAGUAUCGUGGGCUUUGUGGCAAAGAGACAAGACGUCUAGGAUGUAUCAAACGUAUGGCUCUGUAGAUGUCUGGACAUGAGGCGCAAGAGCCUUUCUCGCGGCAACCUUGCGCCCGAAGGGGUCACUGAACAGUUCUCUUAGCUUUACUUUGAAACUGUCCCAGCUCAUUAUCUCGUCAUGUGUUUGGAGUCACACGCAUGGGGUGCCACCGAGAUAAAAGAUUACAUUAGCAAGCAUAACUGUAGGAUUCCACCUGUUAUUAGCACUGGCGCAUUCAUAGAGCUUGAGCCAUUCAUCAACGUCCUGUCCGUCCAGGCCACAGAAGAGACCAGGGUCACGAUGUUGGGCAACCAUGACGAUAAGAGCAGUCGGACAAGCUGAAGCCGUUGCAGAUGCGGUCUCGUCACCGGGAGGUAUGGUGACAAGCUCGAUAUGCCGACCACUUCGGAGUGCCGUGAAGAGGACAGGGAUCGCUAACCUCCACCAGAAUGUUGCACAGACACAGACAAAAUACACAAAUGAAAGAGGCUAUUUACAUGCUAUCUACACUGGAGCCAGACAGCCAGGCCGACACUCGCUCACGCCAUGAGCCCAGACACACUUCAAUUCUUCCUCGCGGCGGCUCGUCUCUUGAGCAUCUCUCGAUGAGAUCGUAAUAAUAUGAAUGUCUGUACUACAUAGUGUGGUGUGUAGUGCGUGACAUGGUACGGUAGACGGAGAGAGACAAGAAGCAGACGAGAAAGAAUGUGCACGCAGAGGCGAAUUCCGUACUGGAUGGAAGACAACGUUGAAGACUGUCCGGCACGUGAGCACGCAGCACUAGAAGAAUAAAAUAAAAGGAAAAGGCAUCUAAUCAGAAGAAAACACGGAGCUUCCAGGGGCCAAUCAGGAAAGGACAAAUCGACCAGAGCGGCAGAAAAGUGAGGUGCGCUGGCAGAAGAAGGGAGAGUUCCAGGAAGCGACGCCAAGAGAACGUCGGCCACCGGACCGGGAGUUCAAGACCGGCCGGCAGGUUUCGGACCCGAGCCACCAGGACUUCACCCAACCGGGACCUCCUGCCAACCCGUUCCUGGGCUUCGCCACUCUACCCGAUCAUGAACUGCUGCUCGAAACCGGCGAGUUUCUGCGCCUAUGGGCAGAACGAGAGCAGUCGGGCUAUGGGCCCCCAGUUCUACGCCCAGCUGCCUGGCCAGAACGCCACCACCAUCUGCCGCCGCCUGCCUUCCCUCUUCAAACCAGAGCCACUACACUCUGGUUGCCUAUUCAUCUACCGAUCUCAUCGACAUUGCGGUGACACAUUACAUUUUUUUCUGUUUUCCAAAUCCCCUUCACUAAUGAGAAAUUUUGCAGCAUCCCCCCUUCAAGUAUUUAUUGAAGAAAACCUUCAAUCAAGAAUUCAUUCAUGCUGAUGUAAUUAUGCAAUGAAUCACAGAACUUCAUUCAACUUGCUUGAACAAUGAAUAAAGAAAUUAAAUGGAAACCAUUAGUCGGUUGGACUACACCUUAACGUGCAACAUAAUUGGUGAAUGUAUAUCCAUAAUUUAUUUCCUUCCAUGUCCAGUUAAUGUCCAGUCCAGUUAAUUUCAUUUCUCUCAGAAAUUUUCUAAAUUUUUUUUGUGCUUGCAUUACUAUGACCACAGCUAAAAUGCAAGGCGGCAAAUUAUUCACUGCUGCCAAAAAUUAAAUUUUUUUUUGCCACUUGUCGGCAGCAACGCAAGUGGAAAACUACUUAGCAAGAUAUGUAUCUAGCAAAUACAUAUGCAGUUGGCAUCUUCAUAACAACAGAGAGGUGGAUCAUGCUACACUGAGGCUCAAGGGCUAACUGGACAAACCUAGCUGAGCUAGGUGGACCAGUGCAUGGCACUGGCUCUGGUCAGGCCAGGGAAAAGUGUCCAUGCAGUGCUCUACUUUUAUGCACUGUUUUCAAGUACUGAAAUUUCAUCCUUAAAAAAUUUCUUGGUCAUGCAAGCACACUAUGCUCUUCUAUAUCCAUCACAGUUGCCUCUCAUUUUCACAACUACCUAAGCUUUAUAGCUCAAAAUAGCUGUAAAAAUAAGGUAUACUGAAGCAUACACUAAUGUUUUGUUUAUGUGUUCCUGUCGUAUGUUGAAAGGCAACGUUUUGGUUGCAAGGUGCCUUUCAGUUGUUUUGCCUCGGUGCCAUGACAAUGAUGUAUUGUCGAAAAUUCAUUCAACAAGAGAGAUAGCAGUUGAUGCCACAACGUCACGCUUACCUUUUAAGUAGCCGGAACACAUUUUUACACAAAAUGAAUUCGCCCAAGGCGCACGAUCAGCAGGUCACUACAGAUGUUAGUAAAGCACUAUUUAUUUCACACAACUGUUGCACCUUCCUUGCAACUGUUGCAUCUUCCUUUCCUUAAAUUCUUUUCUUUUUCACACGGAAGGGGUGGUUUGCAUAAAAUUAAAAUACCCGGAUACACAAAAAUACGGAGCAGUAAAGAAAGGUAAAGCGGCAGAUGAGCAAUAUUCUCGCUCCAACGUAGUGACAAAUGAGCUGCUGCAAAUGCUUCUUAACAGUCAUGCUUUAACGGUGCGAGUGGUGCCUGCAUUAUGUUUAGAAAAAAUUUACGAUGCACUACCGAGGUUUUGCUUCGUUUAACAUGUUAAAGGUAAACAGCGGGACUCCGCUGUUAUACUCUGCGCCGUCGCAAACUAGUGAAAGGCGUCACAACGCAUAUACAGCGCGUAAAUGGAUAAAGUAAGGCUAUCAAAAGCUCACUUUAAAUGCAAAUCGGAGCGCCGAACCUACGCGUCUUGUUGGAAAGACGAAGCGAGUGCUCUUCAUAACGCAAUAAACAAUGGCCACAUAUCGAUUUAUCAAUAAAGAUCGUUAUAAAACGCUUCUGUGUACUGGCGGUGCAAAAAAUACAAACUGUUUGAAGAAUUUAAACCAUUUAAACUGGGACUGAAUCCUUCAAUGACACGGACGUCCUGCAACAAACCAAUGGAAUAAGUUCCGAGCGCCGAAAACAAGAGUAACGCUUACAAAAAAAAAAAUGGUUUUGCUAGUUUCUGUUUCGGUUUCUGAUGCAUGAAGCGCCACCUGCUUCCUGCAAAAAGUGCCAUGGCAGCUUCCUGUUUACUUUUCGAAGUUGGCGUAACUAACGCAGCUGAGUCUCGAAGCUUUCCUGUGCCGUUAUGCAUGACGCAAUGUCAUUAAAUAGAUGCUGUGUGUAUUUGUGGAGCCUCUAGAAAGUCCUGCAUCGAUACGUGUGUGUCUUUGUAUACGCGCCAUCUCUGGAGGUAAGCAAACCCUCUCAGCCAGCUUGCGCCGACCUUCGUUGCAAGCAAUAUUUCGUUGCGAUAUUUGUAAUUUAACUACAUGCUUUAUCGGUAUGCAGCUGCAUCUGACCGCCACUUCUUAUAGGCCUGAUGAAAAGUGGUAUUGAAACCACUACAUGGGUACUACGUAACCGUAAUCUCUACCGUAAUCUUAACCUGCGUUUUCGUUUCCUUCAGUUCUAGUUCGAUUUCAAAACAAGAUCCCAUUUGUUGGUACUCAUCGUUCAUUAUAUGCUUAGCAUGUUGGCUUCGCCCGAUUUGUCCAGAACAACAUAUAUAUGUAUAUAUCAUCGCCUUAUAACAGGCACGUCGGUAUCGGAGAAGCUCGCAGGUGGGUGUGCCGUUUUCACUGCCUAAAGUACGCAUGAACGACGUAGAUAAUGACAUCUAGUGAUUCAUAAAUAACUUGGAGUAAAGAAAUGCUGUGUUGCUGCGAAAUUUUAGUAGCAACAAAGCAAAGAUACGCCUGAAAUGUUUUUCAGUGAAAUAUUUGUGCACAUACUUGGGGACGUCUUCUGAAACGUUCCACUUCGGCGAUAGUUUGCCUAGGCAACAAUUUCGCCUUCAGGCGCGCGCUGAGAUAAGAUUGCAUAACAAAAUACAAAUUGCAUAGCAAAAUACAGUGGUGACUACCAGCUGAUGCUUUUUGCGGGAAUUACAAUAUAUGUAGCAAUCAAAAUGCAAGAAAAAGUAGCAACAGAAGAAAACAAAUUAAACACCUGUGAGUUUACUCAACCAUGCACUUGUGCAUAUAUAUGCGCUCACAGGUAGUUCUAGCUUUCUUUUAUUAUGUCCGUGUUUUGUUGCAUUACCCAGAUACCAUUCCACGAUGACCGACCAACAAGCCCAUAUUGCCACCCUUGUCGAUUUCAUUUCUAGUACAACAGGCUUUUUUCAAUAUGUUCCUCGAGAUUCCGGGCAUACUGUUGCCCUCAUUGCCAUGGCUGCCAGCAGCACGUGUGUCCUAAGGUUCUGUAUUCAUAACAAGCAGCUUCCACAGGAUAUAAAAUCGUUGUUUACUGGUUUCGCACCAUUCGGAUGUCGGUCACGGAAAAAGAAUUUUGAAGAUUGUACGUGCCAAACAACUUCAGCAGGCGUGUCUCCACAGAGAUUACCUCAGCGUGCAGAUGUUUUAUCAGUAUGAGUCGUGCGCUGCAAAGAAUCUUCUGUGGAGGCACCUGCACUUAGCUGAUCAGGUCACCAAGUUCCUUUGACAACCUCAAAUAAGACUACUACGGGCUCAUGUGAACAAGGAUUGACAGAAAGCAACAAGUGAUGUCUACGUUUCUGAAGGUUUCAUCCUACCCAACAGUGUGUGCAAAGUUCUUGGCCUCGGUCCAAAAUUUGCCCAAGCUACCAGCUGGACUAAACCGGAACUUCCCUGUCCGUCAUAAGUAAAGUGUCCAGAAGAGCCCCGCAAGAAGAUGGUGUGAGGAUGAAUUCGGAAGGUUUAGAUGCCCUGUUGUGAUCAAUCGGCUGCAAGUCUUAAGGAGGCUGGUUACCCUAACAACGUGUUGGUGUCGGUGGCAGAAAGGCUGCUCAAACAGGAACUUUCGAGACGAUGCCUCCGUGCAAAUGCAAGAGCUAGCAGCCGUGACCAGGUGAAAACCGCUGAGAUUCCGUAUAUACGCCAGAUAUCACAUAGCCUGAAAAUGAUAGGAAGCCAAGGUAAUGUGCGGGUGUUUUUUCAGCUCCAAAUAAGCUAAGCACCUUGUGUAAAACCACUAACCCAAUAAGGACAAAUAAGCCGGUUUGUGGUAGCAUUGCAAAGAUGAGUUCGUCGGAUGCGGUGUAGGAGUGGUCUAUCAUAUUCCACUGUCAUGCGGUAGAUGCUACAUAGGCCAAACCGGAAGAUGCAUUAAUGAGAACUUAAGAGAGCACAGAAAUAUAGUGUAUCAGGUGACGAUUUUCUUGCUUUGCAUUGCAAUACAUGUCCAUGUCGCCCUCUUCUAAAUGACACCGCUAUUAUAUACAGGGAUAAGCGCAAGUGUGUAAGAUUAAUAGUAGAAACUGGGCAAAUCCUAUCGGCCGCUGACCAAUGUAUCAGCAAACUAUCACUAUCAUUGUCCGUGAGAAAGUUAGAUUAUUUUCGCAUGCCAUGAAAGUUGACUGCAUUUGCAAUGGGUCAUUUAGGUUUCUUGGUGUUUUUUUGCUGUACCGGUUUUAGACAGUGUGGCUCUACUCAGCCAUAUAUACAGUCGACUUCCAUUAAUUUGAUCAUCUUUCUGGGGUUUUACUUGCCAAAACCAGUUCUGAUUAUGAGGCAUGCCCGUUAAUUCGAUCCUGACGGGACCAUUGAGACUGGUCGAAUUAAACAAAAGGCAUAAAAAAACAUUGAAACGUGCCAUUGCUUCACUUUGCAGUAUUUGCCUUCAAAAUUAACUUUGGCCGCGUUUCAGUUUAGCGCUACACCUGCAACCAUCAACAGCUACGAACUCGCCCAGUUUACUAUUUUUCUUAAUGUUAGCUUCACUGCAAUACAGCCAUGUUAUGCAUAGAACCAUACCAAGCAGGGAAAGGUGCCAUUGUUGCAAAUCAGCACGUGUUCCCUAAAUUACAUACAUGCACAUGUGCAGUCUCCAGUCACAGUAUGAGCACCAAGACGCCUAAUAGGUGUAUGGGCAGGCCUUCAGAGUUUGAUAUAUUCACACUCUUUUGUUGGCUUUUAACAUCUCCUCGGCUUAACGCAGUUUUUUCAACUUACUGCCUUCCUUUUUGCUAGCUUUCCCAAAACACAUGAUUAUUUUCCACUUCUCUGUGCACGGCACAUUUACUUAAAGAAGACAUACUAGGCCUCAUUAACAGUCUCAUACACGAGACAUGCAUGGAAGGUGAAAAAAGGACUCAAAUCACCACUGAAACGUAAGAAACAGCUCUGAAUGGCUGCCACUAUGCUUAUUAGGUGGCUAGGUUCUCCUACUGUGACAGGAAACUGCAUGCUUGUAUAAUCAAGGAACACGUGUGAUGUCCUGUGACAGUGGCCCUUUUCCAUUCUCAAUAUGCUUCACCACAGUAAGUUGCAUAUGCUUCAGCGCAUAACACGGCUGUAUUUGGGCGAAUCUGACCAGUGAGGUUCGAAUUAUCCGACGAAGGCCAAUUUUGAGAUUGAAAUAACAGAAGUUAGGGCUCACAGAAAUGUAUUUCAU